Molecule: microRNA precursor, 152 nt
Filed under: Paramuricea clavata
Lineage: Eukaryota; Metazoa; Cnidaria; Anthozoa; Malacalcyonacea; Plexauridae
Source: RNAcentral
UUAUCAAACUUGCUACGAGGUUGUUCUAACAAGUCUGAUACAGUCAUGAUAUAACAAGAAUGUUACAAGAUUGACGACACGAGGUUGUAACAAUAUUGUUGUGUCAUGACUGUAACGGACUUGUUGGAACAACCUUGCAACAAGUCUGAUAA